AGUGAACGCUGGCGGUAGGCCUAACACAUGCAAGUCGAACGGCAGCACAGUAAGAGCUUGCUCUUACGGGUGGCGAGUGGCGGACGGGUGAGGAAUACAUCGGCAUCUACUUUUUCGUGGGGGAUAACGUAGGGAAACUUACGCUAAUACCGCAUACGACCUACGGGUGAAAGCAGGGGAUCUUCGGACCUUGCGCGAUUGAAUGAGCCGAUGUCGGAUUAGCUAGUUGGCGGGGUAAAGGCCCACCAAGGCGACGAUCCGUAGCUGGUCUGAGAGGAUGAUCAGCCACACUGGAACUGAGACACGGUCCAGACUCCUACGGGAGGCAGCAGUGGGGAAUAUUGGACAAUGGGCGCAAGCCUGAUCCAGCCAUACCGCGUGGGUGAAGAAGGCCUUCGGGUUGUAAAGCCCUUUUGUUGGGAAAGAAAAGCAGCAGGUUAAUACCCCGCUGUUCUGACGGUACCCAAAGAAUAAGCACCGGCUAACUUCGU
This 491-nucleotide ribosomal RNA is filed under the name uncultured bacterium. Its description in RNAcentral is "partial 16S ribosomal RNA". It matches the Rfam family "Bacterial small subunit ribosomal RNA", at positions 29 to 506 of the family's 1533-position model. The record is from RNAcentral.